Balaenoptera musculus (blue whale) is the source of this 2853-nucleotide long non-coding RNA. RefSeq lists it as uncharacterized. The transcript has 13 exons. NCBI's taxonomy places the organism in Eukaryota, Metazoa, Chordata, Mammalia, Artiodactyla, Balaenopteridae. The record is from RefSeq and is a predicted model, not a curated record.
GAGGCAGUUCUUGUGUCCAAGUGCUUGAAUAGGACUCUUCUUGUUGCUUGUGUGUUUCAGUAAAAUUGGAAGAAAAUCAUGGUCUGAGGUGAGGAUGAAAGAAGAAGCGUUAGAACUUUGAGAAGUGAACCUAUGCAAACUAUUUUCUUACUUCUGCAACAGGAAGUUAGGACUCUUCUCCCUCAUUUGCUACUGGUAUUACAAAAAUAUCAGAUGUUAACGAGUCCACUGCCUUGCUGCCUUUUCUGUAUUAGGAAGACUCAAUGAUAUCAAAUAUUUUUAUCCAGUUGUUCCAGCAUCAUUUGUUGAAAAGUCUAUUCAUUCUGUCUGUACAGAAUUACUUCUUCACACUUGUGAAAAAUCUAUUUGCCAUAUCUGUAUGGGUCAAUUUCUGGACUUUCUGAAGUGUUCUAUUGGUCUAUGUUUAUAUCCCUUUGCCAGUACCAUACCAUCUUGAUUACAGUAACACCGUGAAUAAUACCCUCCAAGUCCAUCUAUGUUGUCACAAAUGAAGAGGUAAAUAUGGGAUUUGAACCAUGCAGUCUGUCUCCUGGCCCUGUGCACCUAGCUAAGUGCAAAGAGCUGAAUAUAAUGACGAUGCUUCGCUCAUCUUCCAGCUCCCCUUUACAUCGGAAUGUUUAUGCAAGGAUGUGCUUAGCAUGGGACUUCUGAAGACUACCCCCAUCACCCAAAGUGGAAAAGAUCAGACAGUUUCUCCUCCAUUUGCCCACCUCUCCUUCCCACUCAAAAGGCUGCUUCUGGCUUCUUUGGUUUAAACAUGGGUGGAGGAAGAAUAGUGGAAGAAGAAGAAGUAGAGAACUUGUGCUUUUAUAGUAAGACGUCCAGCUACCCUGAAGCAACCAUUCUAAAGAGACCAUACUGAGACUGUACAUAAGAGAAAGAUGCCUAAGGAGGGGCUCUUCUAGACUCCUGUUGUUUGAGCUUUCUAAUUAUCAACCUACCAACAUCAAUAGAAGAGACAGACCAUUCUUACAAAACUGGGACUGGUUAACCAUCAUCCCUCCUAUUUUAACUCAAGGACUGGUGGGCGGUUGUCUCCCGUAUGAAAGUUACUGAGCAGAUGUGCUGGACUCUGCCAAGACAUAGAGAGAGAGACUGGGAACAGAUGACAAAGGAAAAGAAAACAAUAGAUAAACCAGAAACUAAUGAAAAAGCUUAAAGGAUACAGGAGCGAUGGGAAUGGGGUAGAAGGCAUUGAGAUGACAGCAAGACUUCUCUGUGCGAGUCCCAGCCUACUCCCUAGUGAUGGUCCUUGUAACCAGGAGCCCAAAGGUGCUCUUUUCUGCCGUCUGAAUGAACUGGAUCUGCUGGGACAAGACAAAGCAAAGCUGGGCUGAGACUCAGAUCUCAACCCACCUGAAUUUUGGCUGCAAGAUAGAGCAAACUUCCCAAGAAGCCAAGGUGUCUCGUCUUUGCCACAUGGGGGUAUCCUGAAGUGCGAGGCACAGGAGGAGCGCUACUUGUCCAGAUCUAAGUAAAAUAUAUCCAUUGCAGUAAAUCAGUUGUCUGCCUCAAAAAAGAAAAGGGUAAGAAAAAUCAUUUAUAAUGUGUUUACCCAGAGAAAACCAUUUUUAUUGUUGAAUAUAUUUCCUUACUUACACACAUAUAUUGGGAAAAAAUUAAUAAUACUAAUUAUGAUGUAUCACAUGAAAAUGUAUAGAAAAGAAAUAUCUAAUAUUUGUCUAUGAAGCUAUGCAAGCAAGAAUACAGGUUAUAUAAUUUUUCAUUCUUGGAGUAGAACAUCAUGAAUUGUUAACUCAGUCUCAAUAGAGCCUCAAUAGGUAUAAAUAUCUUCACUUUACAGUUCUAGCAGUUACAGGCAGGCUGAUCCUCUGAAGAACAAGACAACACUUUGGUGAAAUUUAAGUGGCUUUUGUGACAUUUUUUAUCUGCUAUUUUAGCCUAUUCUCUUUCUUUUUGAUUCAGCCCUAAUCUCCAUUCCUUAGGAACACAUGGGUUUUAUUCUUGCUUUCUUAAAGUCCCAAUAAGGUCAUCACUGGUUUUCCAUCAUCACUGGUUUUCCAUCAACUUGCUUUUUUAAUACUGUGCAAAUUUUCCUCUACGUUUUCUAAAUCAAAAUUUAUGUGAUCGUUUUCUCAGUCAGUUGUCCAUUGGUACAUAAUCACAUUAGCAAAUAUGCAUCUCUUAAGAGAAUUAACAAGGUGCUUGGUCAAAUGACAUGGGGGUUUCAGAAGUGAAAUAGUCACAGUCCUCUCUCAAUAAGCACAGAUAACCACUAUAGAAGAAAGAUGUGAUCAGAAUACUAAACAGGGACAAAUACACUUCUAUGAGAAUUCAUGCCAGAGAUUAACUUUGAUUUGGUGAAUAAUGAUGGGAGGAAGUUUCCAUGAAAGAUGUACCAUUUCAGUGAGUUGCAUUUGGAAGAAGUCAAACGAGGUACUGCAUCUCUCCCUGGGCUUCAGAUUAUUUUUAAAAAAUAAAGGAGUUAGACUACUUUUAAUAUCUAAUAACUCUAUCAGUACCAAUUAGUGCAAAAUAUCAAGACAUUCUUUGGUGACUAUACGGAUGAACAAAUCAAGUAACAGAUCUUCUCAGUCACUUCAUUGUCUAUGGGGACUCUAAUACCCACUUGACUCUGUGUGUCACCUUGAUAACACUUUCCUCUGUGUCUCCACGGGUCCUGAAGACCUGCCUCUAUGCUUUCUGAAUUCACUGUCAGUCAUAAAUAAUCCACCCACUCCCCCAUAUGUGCCACCGUAUCUCUGAAAGCUCCCCUCAGCUUCUUCCAGUUAUUCUUCCCUGUGGACACUGCUUUCCCUGGAGCCUUCUCAAAAAGAGGUAGUUUUCUUCUCAUACUCUGCAUCCUUUGGC